This 492-nucleotide ribosomal RNA is filed under the name uncultured bacterium. Its description in RNAcentral is "partial 16S ribosomal RNA". It matches the Rfam family "Bacterial small subunit ribosomal RNA", at positions 29 to 507 of the family's 1533-position model. The record is from RNAcentral.
AGUGAACGCUGACGGUAGGCCUAACACAUGCAAGUCGAACGGCAGCACAGUAAGAGCUUGCUCUUACGGGUGGCGAGUGGCGGACGGGUGAGGAAUACAUCGGAAUCUACUUUUUCGUGGGGGAUAACGUAGGGAAACUUACGCUAAUACCGCGUACGACCUACGGGUGAAAGCAGGGGAUCUUCGGACCUUGCGCGAUUGAAUGAGCCGAUGUCGGAUUAGCUAGUUGGCGGGGUAAAGGCCCACCAAGGCGACGAUCCGUAGCUGGUCUGAGAGGAUGAUCAGCCACACUGGAACUGAGACACGGUCCAGACUCCUACGGGAGGCAGCAGUGGGGAAUAUUGGACAAUGGGCGCAAGCCUGAUCCAGCCAUACCGCGUGGGUGAAGAAGGCCUUCGGGUUGUAAAGCCCUUUUGUUGGGAAAGAAAAGCAGCAGGUUAAUACCCCGCUGUUCUGACGGUACCCAAAGAAUAAGCACCGGCUAACUUCGUG